This 486-nucleotide ribosomal RNA is filed under the name uncultured bacterium. Its description in RNAcentral is "partial 16S ribosomal RNA". It matches the Rfam family "Bacterial small subunit ribosomal RNA", at positions 30 to 507 of the family's 1533-position model. The record is from RNAcentral.
AUUGAACGCUGGCGGCAUGCCUUACACAUGCAAGUCGAACGGCAGCACGGGUGCUUGCCCCUGGUGGCGAGUGGCGAACGGGUGAGUAAUACAUCGGAACAUGUCCUGUAGUGGGGGAUAGCCCGGCGAAAGCCGGAUUAAUACCGCAUACGAUCUACGGAUGAAAGCGGGGGACCUUCGGGCCUCGCGCUAUAGGGUUGGCCGAUGGCUGAUUAGCUAGUUGGUGGGGUAAAGGCCUACCAAGGCGACGAUCAGUAGCUGGUCUGAGAGGACGACCAGCCACACUGGGACUGAGACACGGCCCAGACUCCUACGGGAGGCAGCAGUGGGGAAUUUUGGACAAUGGGCGAAAGCCUGCUCCAGCAAUGCCGCGUGUGUGAAGAAGGCCUUCGGGUUGUAAAGCACUUUUGUCCGGAAAGAAAUCCUUGGCCCUAAUACGGUCGGGGGAUGACGGUACCGGAAGAAUAAGCACCGGCUAACUACGUG